AGUGAACGCUGGCGGUAGGCCUAACACAUGCAAGUCGAACGGCAGCACAGUAAGAGCUUGCUCUUACGGGUGGCGAGUGGCGGACGGGUGAGGAAUACAUCGGAAUCUACUUUUUCGUGGGGGAUAGCGUAGGGAAACUUACGCUACUACCGCAUACGACCUACGGGUGAAAGCAGGGGAUCUUCGGACCUUGCGCGAUUGAAUGAGCCGAUGUCGGAUUAGCUAGUUGGCGGGGCAAAGGCCCACCAAGGCGACGAUCCGUAGCUGGUCUAAGAGGAUGAUCAGCCACACUGGAACUGAGACACGGUCCAGACCCCUACGGGGGGCAGCAGUGGGGAAUAUUGGAAAAUGGGCGCAAGCCUGGUCCAGCCAUACCGGGUGGGUGAAGAAGGGCUUCGGGUUGUAAAGCCCUUUUGUUGAGAAAGAAAAGCAGCAUGUUAAUACCCCGCUGUUCUGACGGUACCCAAAGAAUAAGCACCGGCUAACCUCGUG
Molecule: ribosomal RNA, 492 nt
Filed under: uncultured bacterium
Lineage: Bacteria
Description: partial 16S ribosomal RNA
Rfam family: Bacterial small subunit ribosomal RNA
Source: RNAcentral